RNAcentral lists this ribosomal RNA (545 nucleotides) under Fusarium sp. XJARAL. RNAcentral's name for it is "eukaryotic LSU rRNA". The stretch from base 179 to 332 matches the Rfam family "5.8S ribosomal RNA". Lineage: Eukaryota; Fungi; Ascomycota; Sordariomycetes; Hypocreales; Nectriaceae. The record is from RNAcentral.
UCCGUAGGUGAACCUGCGGAGGGAUCAUUACCGAGUUUACAACUCCCAAACCCCUGUGAACAUACCAAUUGUUGCCUCGGCGGAUCAGCCCGCUCCCGGUAAAACGGGACGGCCCGCCAGAGGACCCCUAAACUCUGUUUCUAUAUGUAACUUCUGAGUAAAACCAUAAAUAAAUCAAAACUUUCAACAACGGAUCUCUUGGUUCUGGCAUCGAUGAAGAACGCAGCAAAAUGCGAUAAGUAAUGUGAAUUGCAGAAUUCAGUGAAUCAUCGAAUCUUUGAACGCACAUUGCGCCCGCCAGUAUUCUGGCGGGCAUGCCUGUUCGAGCGUCAUUUCAACCCUCAAGCCCAGCUUGGUGUUGGGACUCGCGAGUCAAAUCGCGUUCCCCAAAUUGAUUGGCGGUCACGUCGAGCUUCCAUAGCGUAGUAGUAAAACCCUCGUUACUGGUAAUCGUCGCGGCCACGCCGUUAAACCCCAACUUCUGAAUGUUGACCUCGGAUCAGGUAGGAAUACCCGCUGAACUUAAGCAUAUCAAUAAGCGGAGG